This 465-nucleotide ribosomal RNA is filed under the name Vreelandella stevensii. Its description in RNAcentral is "partial 16S ribosomal RNA". It matches the Rfam family "Bacterial small subunit ribosomal RNA", at positions 338 to 795 of the family's 1533-position model. Lineage: Bacteria; Pseudomonadati; Pseudomonadota; Gammaproteobacteria; Oceanospirillales; Halomonadaceae. The record is from RNAcentral.
CCUACGGGAGGCAGCAGUGGGGAAUAUUGGACAAUGGGGGGAACCCUGAUCCAGCCAUGCCGCGUGUGUGAAGAAGGCCCUCGGGUUGUAAAGCACUUUCAGUGAGGAAGAACGCCUGGUGGUUAAUACCCAUCAGGAAAGACAUCACUCACAGAAGAAGCACCGGCUAACUCCGUGCCAGCAGCCGCGGUAAUACGGAGGGUGCGAGCGUUAAUCGGAAUUACUGGGCGUAAAGCGCGCGUAGGUGGCUUGAUAAGCCGGUUGCGAAAGCCCCGGGCUCAACCUGGGAACGGCAUCCGGAACUGUCAAGCUAGAGUGCAGGAGAGGAAGGUAGAAUUCCCGGUGUAGCGGUGAAAUGCGUAGAGAUCGGGAGGAAUACCAGUGGCGAAGGCGGCCUUCUGGACUGACACUGACACUGAGGUGCGAAAGCGUGGGUAGCAAACAGGAUUAGAUACCCUUGUAGUC